AAAUUCUGGUUUCUCUUCAAAUCAUAUAAAUCUUUCACCUUUCACUAAAAGAUUUCCAUGGAAAGGAAAACUGUCUCUUAAACCACUUUUUCGAGGCCUUAUUUUAACAGGACC
This is a small nuclear RNA of Mustela putorius furo (domestic ferret), 114 nucleotides long. Its record names the gene U5. It matches the Rfam family "U5 spliceosomal RNA". From Rfam's summary of the family: U5 RNA is a component of both types of known spliceosome. The precise function of this molecule is unknown, though it is known that the 5' loop is required for splice site selection and p220 binding, and that both the 3' stem-loop and the Sm site are important for Sm protein binding and cap methylation. Lineage: Eukaryota; Metazoa; Chordata; Mammalia; Carnivora; Mustelidae. The record is from Ensembl.